Cydia pomonella (codling moth) is the source of this 5716-nucleotide long non-coding RNA. RefSeq lists it as uncharacterized. The transcript is spliced from 2 exons. NCBI's taxonomy places the organism in Eukaryota, Metazoa, Arthropoda, Insecta, Lepidoptera, Tortricidae. The record is from RefSeq and is a predicted model, not a curated record.
UUUUUUUAUUCAGCCUUCUAACAGAGUGCAAUUUUUUUUCUUUCGAGUGGCAACAUAUGGCGUACAGCCUGUACAUAGUCAUCACUUGUGACAGUUGUGUCAUCGCGUCAGUAAAGGCCUGUCCAGACGGAAUGAUGAAAUCAUACGAUUUGUUCAGUAUGACUGUGGUCGUAUCAUUAAUACACGCUGUAUACGAAAGUUAUACAUAUAAUUGUGAAAUGUAUUUUGUUGCUAUAUCAAUCAUAAGAUCUCAUUCUGAUAUGACUUCAAUUCCAUGGAGGAGGAGGUUCUGUAUUUGGUUAUGGCUAUUUAUUUUUAUGUACCGUUGUGUUAUGUUCACCGAUUAGUCCGAGCUCCGAGGUCCGAUUUGAGUUAUUAUGUUUUUAUUUGAAUGGACUUGCAUUCAAGGUGGUCCCAUCAUGUUAUGGUGAUUUUGGUGUUUUCUUAAGCAACUCAAGGACUCAUGGAGUGGACCGUGAACCUGAUGAUGAAAUAUAAGUGGGUGUAUUAUGAUUUUGGAUGUAGAUAGUAGUGGAAAUGUCUAACGAGACUGAGAGGUGAGGGGUAGGCGUGGGAGGUGAAGGCUGGUGAUGUUUGAGGGGUCUGAAGUUGGAGGUUGCGAGGUUGGGGCUUGACGGGUCGGGAUUUGAGGGGCUGGAUGAUUGAGGGCACGGUGAGUUGAUGGGUACUGAGGCGUCGAGAGGUUGGGAUUUGAGGGGUCGGGAGUUGGGUGUUGAGUGGUCGAGGGGUAUUAUAUUAUAAUAAAUAUAAGUAGUUGAAAUAUUUUACAUAAAUUUGUUGUUUUUUCCUAGAUACGAAUAUUGUUAAUUUAUUAACAAAUUUAGAGAAAUUAUAAUAUCUGUUCACAUGUUAUUUAAAGUGUGUGUAUGUUAAUUCUAAUUAGGCUCACUUAUUGAAAUAAUAGGGUCUGUGUAAUUUUUUUUUUUUUAAUCUCUAAAGUUGCACGAGUAAUAACUUUAAAAGUUAAAAUCCAGAAAGAGCGACAAUGGAGAAAACGGUGCCCAAAGUUUGGGACGGCAAAAACACAUUUGUACCUAUUUUGAAGUUAUGGAGUGGUCGAUUACAAACAUAAACUAAUCUUCAGGGGGCGUCGAUUAAUUACGUGAGGGGUUUUUGAGGAUUUUAGACCCCCCAAAACUUUAACAGUUGGAAUGUCACCGUGGUGAAAACAUAUAAAUGGUUGGAAAAUAACUCCAUAUGAAUUUAUCGCCAUUUUUAGGGUUCCGUAGUCAACUAGGAAUCCUUAUAGUUUCGCCAUGUCCGUCUGUCUGUCUGUCUGUCCGAGGCUUUGCUCCGUGGUCGUUAGUGCUAGAAAGCUGAAAUUUGGCAUAAAGCCGACAAAGUCAUACAAUAAAAUCUAAAAGUUUAUUUUUUUUUGGGUACCUCCCCUACACGUAAAGUGGGGGUGAACAUUUUUUUUUGCUUCAACCUUACAGUGUGGGAUAUCGUUGGAAAGGUCUUUCAAAACUAAUAGGGGUCUUCAAGAAACAUUUCUUGAUAAAGUGAAUAUAUUCGGAGAUAAUUGCUCCGAAAGAAAAAAAAAAUGUGUCCCCCCUCUAACUUUUGAACCAUAGGUCCAAAAAAUAUGAAAAAAAAUCUUGGAAGUAGAGCUUAAGAAAGACAUUAAAUGUAAACUAUAGCGGAUAUGAUCAGUUUAUCUGUUUUUGAGUUAUCGCAAAAAGUUUCCCCUUCAUAGUAAAAAGACGUACACCCACAGUUCAUCCCUUGGUUAACAAUCUACCAUACUUUAAGCUCCAGUUUAGCUUAUUGUGACGGAAGAGUAACUACGGAACCCUACUCUGAGCAAGGCCCGACAUGCUCUUGGCCGCUUUUAUUUUAAAUAAAAAUACAUGAGACUCUAAUUUUUCCUUAAAGAUAUAUUUAUAAACGUAUUCUUAAGCCAAGAGAGUAGAAAUAAGGUAUAUAACUUAUUUUAAUUAGUCAUAUGCAUGUGUACAACGCGCCCCAAUGCAUUUGCGGAGUUAUGGUGGAAAAGAACGGCCAUGGGCUUAGCUGCCAAAGAUGCGCUGGUCGCUUUCUCAGGCUCCACUCCAUAAACGGGAUUGUUCGUCGGUACGGUAAAUCCUUUCUCGAAAAGGAGCUUUCUCAAUCAGACGACAAACGAUCCUACGGGCUAACACUGGUAGGAGAGAAUGGGGGAAAUGAGAAUGGCAUAAUCUUAAACAAUGACUAAGGAAAUGAGAACGUUCCCAACCAAAAAAACCUAGAAUUUGUGUGAUGUAAUUAAUGGAUGACCCCUUAAUAAUGAUUCCUGCUACUCGUACAUACUGAUUGAACGUGUAAUAUUUUUAAUCUUUGCAAAAUGAUAAUAAUAAUAAUAAAAUUCUUUAUUGCACACUACAUAAAAAACAGACACAGAAAUUGAUAAAAUAUACACAUAGGUAGGUAACAACAGGCGAUACUAGAUACUACUACUACUACUUUACUACUUUAUGAUACUAGAUUGAAAAUCUUGAGUGUUUUCCCCCUAAAUCGGCAAUGUUUUUGAUUUCGAUUAAAUUGCUCAUGAUACUUAAACGUUUAUUUUAAAUAAUUCAUUAAUUAGAUAUAAUUAGAUAGUACCAAUAUAGGCAGAACCAGACUAAUGGUUAUCGUAAAAACGUAUUCGAUUUAUGACAUUCUUAUAUCAUUUUAGACCGUUGGAAGUUAAGUGUUCCCAGUUCCCCCACUUUCCUACCCUGGCAGAGAGGGCGGUAUCUUAUAUGGGAUAUAACUUAUGUGAGUACAUUUAGUGCGUCCCAUACUCUGCUCUGCCGGCUUAGCACAGGAGCGCUGCGAUAGUAUCUCGCCUACUGGGAGCCACCUAUGACUAUGACUAUAUGCCCGUCAUCGUCGAGACAGCCGGGCCCUGGGGGCGAGAGGCACGGGAGCUCUUCCGAAAGCUAAGCAGGCGGCGUAGGGAAAAGGGCGAUGACCCCCGUUCUAGGCCAUGACUUGUCCAACAGGGUCUCCAUCACCAUACAGUGGGGCAACGCUGCCAGUAUGAUGGGGACCUUUGGACCCGGCAUGGCGCAGAACGAGUUUUAGGUUAGUCUUGUCGUAUCUUUACUAUAUUCUUAAAUAUAUAUACCUAUAGUAGCGGCUUACAUUAUUCAUCAUAAUGUUGUAAAGUUUACAAAAAUUAAUGAUAUAUGAAAAAAAUAUUAUGAAUAAAGUACAAAAUUCAUGUGUAGUUUAAUAAAAAUAAGACGUGCAGGCCCUGAGGACGGAAGGCGCGCGAGCUCUUUCGAGAGCUAGGCAGGCGACUUAUAUUAGGGAAGAAAGCAAUGACCCCUUUUGGGUCAUGGUUUGUCCAACAGGUUUCCAUCGCCAUACAGACCCCUGUAUGUAAGCGUUGCCCCAACGCUGCUAUUAGUGUGAUGGGGGCCAUUCCCGACCUUUGGACACGGUAUGGCGCAGAACGGGUUUUAGGUUAAUUAUUUUUGUCAUAUCUUUGUUAUAUCCUUAAAUAUAUAGGUCACACUGAGCAACUUUUACUAUGGGACCAACCCUGAAAUCGCGAAAAAAAAAGUACUCUCCCAUAGAAAAUGUCAAGGUCAGUCAGGCCAAUUUUUUUUGUGAUUUCGGGGUUGGUCCCAUACGAGUAGUAAAAGUUGCUCAGUAUGACCUAUAUAUUCAUCCCGUACAUUAUUGCAGGUGAUAUUGGUUUAUAUUAUUUAUUCAUUAUGUUGUAAAGUUUAUAAACAUUAAUAAUAAAUGAAAAGAGUACAAAAUGCAUGUAUACGAGUAUUUUCAUAAAAACAAACCUGGGGGCCCCGGGGACGGCAGCCGCGUAAGCUCUUCCGAGAGCUAGGUAUUAGGGGGCUUAGGGAAAAGGGCGAUGACCCCCGUUCAGGUACUUUUGGGUCAUAACUUGUCCAACAGGUCUCCAUCGCCAUACAGCGGGGAAUGCUGCUAGUCUGAUGGGGACCGUAGGCGGAUCCUACGGUCCCCAUCAUGCAUGGCGCAGAACGGGUUUUAGGUUAGUCUUAGAAAAGAUAAUUUUUGAAAUAGAGGUGUGUUGUCAAAGAAAACUUUGUAGCCAGUAACCACGUAAAUUUACUGCCAUAUUUCGACACACGAUUAACCCUUUUCCAGGCAUAGUACGAUUUAUCGACCACAUAAGCGCCAAUAAAAUUUCAACCUUAGCCAUUCGAUUUAAAGUUCAAAUUAGAUUGCACUUUCGGAAAAUGUGACGUGUCUUCAAAUGAAUCAUCAAAGCGGGAUUUAUUUGAAUAUAUUUGAUUUUUUUGGGAAAACCUUGUAGAAUGGUGCGGCCUGGAAAAGGGUUAAAACUUUUAGAAUACCAUUUGACUUUGAUCCUUGUUCUUUCAUUGAUAUGUAUUAAAUUUGUUAAAUAUCAAAAAGUGGCGCCGUUUGAGGCGCGUGUUUAACAAAUAUCAGUGAAAGAAUAAGGAUCAAAGUCAAAUGGCGUUCGAAAAUCCAACCAAACUAGACCCUACUCAUAGUGUUGUGUUCCUGCCGGUGAGUAAGGUUGCCAAAAAAAAGGUUUAAUCAUGUGUCGAAAGUUGACAGUAAGAGUAGACAGUUUACUGUGGCUACAAACAGACAACCCACCUCUUUCAAAUUCUCUUUGGUCUUAGCUUAGUUAUUUAUGUCAUAUCUCUGUUAUAUCCUUAAAUACAUAUAUAAAGAUGUCAUUAUUUAGAUUAGUCAUUAAUGUCAUUAUGCUGUAAAGUUUAUAAAAAUUACUAGAGGUGUAUUCGGGUAAUUCCGAAUUCCAAAAACCGUCGGAUAAUUCUGAAAAGGAAAUUAUGAUAUGAUAUUCAUAUUCAUCUCAUUUUCGGAAUAGUCCUACAUACGAAACUUAUUUUUUUAAAAGCUGAAUUCAUAUGUAUAAAAUUAGAAGAAUACUUAGUUACAAGUACACAUAUCACGUGUAAAAAGGUGACACCUAUACCCCACCCCAGCUGUACAAUCUGACUAUGCACGGGGGGUCACCUCUCUCUGCAGCUGAUUAUAUGUGUUUGGUACAUUAUUCUCUAUUAUUUUUGUAUAAGUUAGUUUUUAUUAUGUGGUUUAUAAUAGGUUUUGUAUACGUUUUACCUUCCAUUACGUGAUUUUUAUUUAUUACUCGUACUUAAUGUAUUCUUGUCUUGCGGUAAUUUUGUCGUUAUUUAGCUUAUCAAGUUAUCACUUUAUCUGUAUUCAUAUUGGAUAUUAAUGCCCUCUAUCGAUGAAACUAGGAAAUAUUAUGUAGUUUUGAAAUCAGCGCCCUCUACUUGUCAAUAGCUUUCUUGGUAAAUUUAUACCAUCUAAAGAGGAAAGGGGACGGCAGCUUCUCCAUACCAAUGAAGUCCCCAUUUUCCUCAGUGGAUUUCAGGUGGAUGCUUAUUGGUUACCCGCACCCGUUGUAAUUUUGUACGUAGUAGUGAUGUUUUCAAGCAAAAAAUACCUCUGUGUCGCUUACCAUAAUACGAAUAACUUGUCUCCGUCCUUCUGGCAAGAGAAAUGUGGUACCUUUUAUUUGAAAACGACACACGGAUUAAUUACUGUAGACAAGUGCUUGUGUAGUUUAAAUGUAUUUACUUAUAUUACCAAAUAAUAUCAACAUUUUAUUUGUAGUAAGAUUUAAAAUAUUUCAAGAUUUUCAAGCCGCAAAAUGUGAUAAACAUACUUAAUUAAUUUUCUACUGUAACCUGAAUGAUAACAACAAUAAAAAGUGAAGUCUCAA